RNAcentral lists this ribosomal RNA (648 nucleotides) under uncultured Bacilli bacterium. Its description in RNAcentral is "bacterial SSU rRNA". It matches the Rfam family "Bacterial small subunit ribosomal RNA", at positions 82 to 718 of the family's 1533-position model. Lineage: Bacteria; Bacillati; Bacillota; Bacilli. The record is from RNAcentral.
CUUCUCUGGAUGAGUUGCGAACGGGUGAGUAACGCGUAGGUAACCUGCCUGGUAGCGGGGGAUAACUAUUGGAAACGAUAGCUAAUACCGCAUAAGAGUAGAUGUUGCAUGACAUUUACUUAAAAGGUGCAAUUGCAUCACUACCAGAUGGACCUGCGUUGUAUUAGAUAGUUGGUGGGGUAACGGCUCACCAAGGCGACGAUACAUAGCCGACCUGAGAGGGUGAUCGGCCACACUGGGACUGAGACACGGCCCAGACUCCUACGGGAGGCAGCAGUAGGGAAUCUUCGGCAAUGGACGGAAGUCUGACCGAGCAACGCCGCGUGAGUGAAGAAGGUUUUCGGAUCGUAAAGCUCUGUUGUAAGAGAAGAACGAGUGUGAGAGUGGAAAGUUCACACUGUGACGGUAUCUUACCAGAAAGGGACGGCUAACUACGUGCCAGCAGCCGCGGUAAUACGUAAGUCCCGAGCGUUGUCCGGAUUUAUUGGGCGUAAAGCGAGCGCAGGCGGUUAGAUAAGUCUGAAGUUAAAGGCUGUGGCUUAACCAUAGUACGCUUUGGAAACUGUUUAACUUGAGUGCAAGAGGGGAGAGUGGAAUUCCAUGUGUAGCGGUGAAAUGCGUAGAUAUAUGGAGGAACACCGGUGGCGA